GGCUUGUUGAUUUUGAUUUCAAGUCUGGCCUGCCCAAUGAUAUUUGUUUUAAUGGCCGCAGUAUAUUAACUGUGCAAAGGUAGCAUAAUCAUUAGUUUUUUAAUUGGAAGCUUGUAUGAAGGGUUUGAUGAAAAAAUUUCUGUCUCUAGAGAAAUUUAUUAGAAUUUUAUUUUUAAGUGAAAAAGCUUAAAUUUUUAUAGAAGACGAGAAGACCCUAUAGAGUUUUAUAUUUAUAUAAAUUAAUAGAAUUAUAUUAAGUAUUUAGUUGGGGUGAUAGAAAAAUUGGACUAACUUUUUUUUUUGUGUACAUUAAUUUAUGAUUAUUUGAUCCUAGAUUUAGAUUAUAAGAAGAAACUACCUUAGGGAUAACAGCGUAAUUUUUUUUAGAGUUCUUAUCGAAAAGAAAGAUUGCGACCUCGAUGUUGGAUUAAAAUUAAUUGUUGGUGAAGAAGUUUACAAAUUAGGUCUGUUCGACCUUUAAAAUUUUACAUGAUCUGAGUUUAAACCGGUGUGAG
Molecule: ribosomal RNA, 515 nt
Filed under: Trigonopterus sp. 719 AR-2022a
Lineage: Eukaryota; Metazoa; Arthropoda; Insecta; Coleoptera; Curculionidae
Description: partial large subunit ribosomal RNA
Rfam family: Bacterial large subunit ribosomal RNA
Source: RNAcentral